UGGCGGCAGGCUUAACNCAUGCAAGUCGAGCGGGCGUAGCAAUACGUCAGCGGCAGACGGGUGAGUAACGCGUGGGAACAUACCUUUUGGUUCGGAACAACACAGGGAAACUUGUGCUAAUACCGGAUAAGCCCUUACGGGGAAAGAUUUAUCGCCGAAAGAUUGGCCCGCGUCUGAUUAGCUAGUUGGUGAGGUAAUGGCUCACCAAGGCGACGAUCAGUAGCUGGUCUGAGAGGAUGAUCAGCCACAUUGGGACUGAGACACGGCCCAAACUCCUACGGGAGGCAGCAGUGGGGAAUAUUGGACAAUGGGGGGAACCCUGAUCCAGCCAUGCCGCGUGAGUGAUGAAGGCCCUAGGGUUGUAAAGCUC
Molecule: ribosomal RNA, 370 nt
Filed under: uncultured bacterium
Lineage: Bacteria
Description: bacterial SSU rRNA
Rfam family: Bacterial small subunit ribosomal RNA
Source: RNAcentral